This 593-nucleotide ribosomal RNA is filed under the name Streptomyces sp. B6(2006). Its description in RNAcentral is "bacterial SSU rRNA". It matches the Rfam family "Bacterial small subunit ribosomal RNA", at positions 57 to 667 of the family's 1533-position model. The record is from RNAcentral. Lineage: Bacteria; Bacillati; Actinomycetota; Actinomycetes; Kitasatosporales; Streptomycetaceae.
GCAAGUCGAACGAUGAAGCCCUUCGGGGUGGAUUAGUGGCGAACGGGUGAGUAACACGUGGGCAAUCUGCCCUUCACUCUGGGACAAGCCCUGGAAACGGGGUCUAAUACCGGAUACGAGUUCGGGAGGCAUCUCCCGGACUGGAAAGCUCCGGCGGUGAAGGAUGAGCCCGCGGCCUAUCAGCUUGUUGGUGGGGUAAUGGCCUACCAAGGCGACGACGGGUAGCCGGCCUGAGAGGGCGACCGGCCACACUGGGACUGAGACACGGCCCAGACUCCUACGGGAGGCAGCAGUGGGGAAUAUUGCACAAUGGGCGAAAGCCUGAUGCAGCGACGCCGCGUGAGGGAUGACGGCCUUCGGGUUGUAAACCUCUUUCAGCAGGGAAGAAGCGAGAGUGACGGUACCUGCAGAAGAAGCGCCGGCUAACUACGUGCCAGCAGCCGCGGUAAUACGUAGGGCGCAAGCGUUGUCCGGAAUUAUUGGGCGUAAAGAGCUCGUAGGCGGCUUGUCACGUCGGGUGUGAAAGCCCGGGGCUUAACCCCGGGUCUGCAUCCGAUACGGGCAGGCUAGAGUGUGGUAGGGGAGAUCGGAAU